UAGGGAAUCUUCGGCAAUGGACGAAAGUCUGACCGAGCAACGCCGCGUGAGUGAAGAAGGUUUUCGGAUCGUAAAACUCUGUUGUUAGAGAAGAACAAGGGUNAGAGUAACUGUUCACCCCUUGACGGUAUCUAACCAGAAAGCCACGGCUAACUACGUGCCGG
RNAcentral lists this ribosomal RNA (164 nucleotides) under uncultured bacterium. Its description in RNAcentral is "partial 16S ribosomal RNA". It matches the Rfam family "Bacterial small subunit ribosomal RNA", at positions 355 to 511 of the family's 1533-position model. The record is from RNAcentral.